UUUGUGGGGUGCUCGAGUGGCGAACGGGUGAGUAACACGUGAGUAACCUGCCCUUGACUUUGGGAUAACUUCAGGAAACUGGGGCUAAUACCGGAUAGGAGCUCCUGCUGCAUGGUGGGGGUUGGAAAGUUUCGGCGGUUGGGGAUGGACUCGCGGCUUAUCAGCUUGUUGGUGGGGUAGUGGCUUACCAAGGCUUGACGGGUAGCCGGCCUGAGAGGGUGACCGGCCACAUUGGGACUGAGAUACGGCCCAG
This 253-nucleotide ribosomal RNA is filed under the name uncultured Actinomycetales bacterium. Its description in RNAcentral is "partial 16S ribosomal RNA". It matches the Rfam family "Bacterial small subunit ribosomal RNA", at positions 79 to 334 of the family's 1533-position model. Lineage: Bacteria; Bacillati; Actinomycetota; Actinomycetes; Actinomycetales. The record is from RNAcentral.